CCCGGUCUUUUACUUUAGUUCCUUGCUUCCGCUGGUUUUGACCGGGCCACUGUUGGAAGCUGAAUAAUCCGUAAGGAGCAACCAAUG
Molecule: regulatory RNA element, 87 nt
Organism: Enterovibrio coralii
Lineage: Bacteria; Pseudomonadati; Pseudomonadota; Gammaproteobacteria; Vibrionales; Vibrionaceae
Rfam family: RpsF leader
About the family: Conserved and widely distributed to many bacterial species RNA structure. It precedes operon containing rpsF, which encodes ribosomal protein S6.
Source: Rfam